RNAcentral lists this ribosomal RNA (286 nucleotides) under uncultured soil bacterium. RNAcentral describes it as "partial 16S ribosomal RNA". It matches the Rfam family "Bacterial small subunit ribosomal RNA", at positions 26 to 310 of the family's 1533-position model. The record is from RNAcentral.
AGAUUGAACGCUGGCGGCAUGCUUUACACAUGCAAGUCGAACGGUAACGCGGGGGCAACCCUGGCGACGAGUGGCGAACGGGUGAGUAAUACAUCGGAACAUGUCCUGGAGUGGGGGAUAGCUCGGCGAAAGCCGGAUUAAUACCGCAUACGCUCUGAGGAGGAAAGCGGGGGACCCGUAAGGGCCUCGCGCUGCGGGAGUGGCCGAUCGUCGGAUUAGCUAGUUGGUGAGGUAAAGGCUCACCAAGGCGACGACUCCGUAGCUGGUCUGAGAGGAUGAUCAGCCA